This 253-nucleotide ribosomal RNA is filed under the name uncultured Methylovulum sp. RNAcentral describes it as "partial 16S ribosomal RNA". It matches the Rfam family "Bacterial small subunit ribosomal RNA", at positions 524 to 776 of the family's 1533-position model. Lineage: Bacteria; Pseudomonadati; Pseudomonadota; Gammaproteobacteria; Methylococcales; Methylococcaceae. The record is from RNAcentral.
UACGGAGGGUGCAAGCGUUAAUCGGAAUUACUGGGCGUAAAGCGUGCGUAGGCGGCCCGUUAAGUCAGAUGUGAAAGCCCCGGGCUCAACCUGGGAACUGCAUUUGAAACUGGCGGGCUAGAGUUGGGUAGAGGUAAGUGGAAUUUCAGGUGUAGCGGUGAAAUGCGUAGAUAUCUGAAGGAACACCAGUGGCGAAGGCGACUUACUGGACCCGAACUGACGCUGAGGUACGAAAGCGUGGGUAGCAAACAGG